This 505-nucleotide ribosomal RNA is filed under the name uncultured bacterium. Its description in RNAcentral is "bacterial SSU rRNA". It matches the Rfam family "Bacterial small subunit ribosomal RNA", at positions 8 to 509 of the family's 1533-position model. The record is from RNAcentral.
AGAGUUUGAGUCCUGGCUCAGGAUGAACGCUGGCGGCGUGCCUAAUACAUGCAAGUCGAACGAGGUAGCAAUACCGAGUGGCGAACGGGUGAGUAACACGUAGGUAACCUGCCCUUAAGCUUGGGAUACCCAGAGGAAACUUUGGCUAAUACCGGAUAACAACAGAGAAGGCAUCUCUUUGCUUGAAAGGCCCCUUCAAGGGGUCACUUAAGGAUGGACCUGCGGCGCAUUAGCUAGUUGGUGAGAUAACAGCCCACCAAGGCGAGGAUGCGUAGCCGAACUGAGAGGUUGAUCGGCCACAUUGGAACUGAGACACGGUCCAAACUCCUACGGAGGCAGCAGUAAGGAGUUUUCGGCAAUGGGGGAAACCCUGACCGAGCAACGCCGCGUGAGCGAUGAAGGUCCUUUGGAUUGUAAAGCUCUGUUGUAAGCCAUGAAUGACAGCUUGAGGAAAUGCAAGUUGUUUGACGACAGCUUACCAGAAAGCCACGGCUAACUACGUGCC